This 253-nucleotide ribosomal RNA is filed under the name uncultured bacterium. Its description in RNAcentral is "partial 16S ribosomal RNA". It matches the Rfam family "Bacterial small subunit ribosomal RNA", at positions 524 to 776 of the family's 1533-position model. The record is from RNAcentral.
UACGGAGGGAGCUAGCGUUGUUCGGAAUUACUGGGCGUAAAGCGCACGUAGGCGGCUAUUCAAGUCGGGGGUGAAAGCCCGGGGCUCAACCCCGGAACUGCCCUCGAAACUAGAUAGCUAGAAUCUUGGAGAGGCGAGUGGAAUUCCGAGUGUAGAGGUGAAAUUCGUAGAUAUUCGGAGGAACACCAGUGGCGAAGGCGACUCGCUGGACAAGUAUUGACGCUGAGGUGCGAAAGCGUGGGGAGCAAACAGG